GACGAACGCUGGCGGCGUGCUUAACACAUGCAAGUCGAACGGAAAGUCCCUGCUUUUGUGGGGUGCUCGAUUGGCGAACGGGUGAGUAACACGUGAGUAACCUGCCCUUUACUUUGGGAUAACUUCAGGAAACUUGUGCUCAUACCGGAUAGGAACUCCUGCUGCAUGGUGGGGUUUGGAAAGUUUCGGCGGUUGGGGAUGGACUCGCUGCUUAUCAGCUUGUUUGUGGGGUAGUGGCUUACCAAGGCUUUGACGGGUAGCCGGCCUGAGAGGGUGACCGGCAAAAAUGGGACUAAGAAAGGGAACAGAAGCCAACGGGAGGCAGCAGGGGGGAAUAUUGCAAAAUGGGCGGAAGCCUGAUGAAGAAACGCAGCGUGCGGGAUGACGGCCUUCGGGUUGAAAACCGCUUUCGCAUGUGACGAAGCGUGAGUGACGGUAAUGGGUAAAGAAGCACCGGCUAACUACGUG
RNAcentral lists this ribosomal RNA (468 nucleotides) under uncultured bacterium. RNAcentral describes it as "partial 16S ribosomal RNA". It matches the Rfam family "Bacterial small subunit ribosomal RNA", at positions 28 to 507 of the family's 1533-position model. The record is from RNAcentral.